This 497-nucleotide ribosomal RNA is filed under the name uncultured bacterium. Its description in RNAcentral is "partial 16S ribosomal RNA". It matches the Rfam family "Bacterial small subunit ribosomal RNA", at positions 28 to 507 of the family's 1533-position model. The record is from RNAcentral.
GACGAACGCUGGCGGCGUGCCUAAUACAUGCAAGUAGAACGCUGAAGCGAGGAGCUUGCUCUUCUUGGAUGAGUUGCGAACGGGUGAGUAACGCGUAGGUAACCUGCCUUGUAGCGGGGGAUAACUAUUGGAAACGAUAGCUAAUACCGCAUAACAAUGGAUGCCACAUGUCAUUUAUUUGAAAGGGGCAAUUGCUCCACUACAAGAUGGACCUGCGUUGUAUUAGCUAGUAGGUGAGGUAAUGGCUCACCUAGGCGACGAUACAUAGCCGACCUGAGAGGGUGAUCGGCCAAACUGGGACUUAGACACGGGCCAGACUCCUACGGGAGGCAGCAGUAGGGAAUCUUCGGCAAUGGGGGCAACCCUGAACGAGCAAAGCCGCGGGAGUGAAGAAGGGUUUCGGAUCGUAAAGCUCUGUUGUAAGUCAAGAACGGGUGUGAGAGUGGAAAGUUCACACUGUGACGGUAGCUGACCAGAAAGGGACGGCUAACUACGUG